GAUGAAGAACGCAGCGAAAUGCGAUAAGUAAUGUGAAUUGCAGAAUUCAGUGAAUCAUCGAAUCUUUGAACGCACCUUGCACCUUUUGGUAUUCCGAAAGGUAUGCCUGUUUGAGUGUCUUGAAACCUCACACUCCAAAAGUUUUUUUGCUUUUGGAGACGUGGACUUGGGUGUUGCAAUUUGCUCACCUUGAAUGCCUUAGUGGUUCUAACCCGUAGCCUAAUGUAAAAAGUUUCAUUUGGUCAAGGGGAAGACUGCUUCAAAUCGCCUUUAGUGGCACCAUUUAAGACUAGACCUCAAAUCAGGUAGGAUUACCCGCUGAACUUAAGCAUAUCAAUAAGCGGAGGA
RNAcentral lists this unclassified non-coding RNA (348 nucleotides) under soil metagenome. Its description in RNAcentral is "partial contains 5.8S ribosomal RNA, internal transcribed spacer 2, and large subunit ribosomal RNA". The stretch from base 1 to 120 matches the Rfam family "5.8S ribosomal RNA", at positions 35 to 154 of the family's 154-position model. The record is from RNAcentral.